This 889-nucleotide ribosomal RNA is filed under the name uncultured archaeon. RNAcentral's name for it is "bacterial SSU rRNA". It matches the Rfam family "Archaeal small subunit ribosomal RNA", at positions 5 to 879 of the family's 1478-position model. The record is from RNAcentral.
CGGUUGAUCCUGCCGGACCCGACUGCUAUUUGGGUGAGGAUAAGCCAUGCGAGUCGAAUGGGAUACCUAAAUUUCACAUGGCGACUGCUUAGUAACACAUGAUCAACUUACCCUAUGGAGAAAAAUAACCUCGGGAAACUGAAGGAUAAUGUUUCAUAGUUGAAAAGGCUUGGAAAAGUUUUUCGACGAAAUGGAUAAGAAAAAUGUUUCUUAUCCGCCAUAGGAUAGGAUCGUGGUCGAUUAUGGUUGUUGGUAAGGUAGCGGCUUACCAAGCCGAUAAUCGAUAGGGGCCGUGAGAGCGGGAGCCCCAAGAUGGGUACUGAGACAGCGACCCAGGCCUUACGAGGCGCAGCAGGCGCGAGACCUCCGCAAUACACGAAAGUGUGACGGGGUUACCCAAAGUGUUCUCUUUUGAACUGUGGUAGGUGAGUAAUGUCCCCUACUAGAAAGGAGAGGGCAAGGCUGGUGCCAGCCGCCGCGGUAAAACCAGCUCUUCAAGUGGUCGGGAUAAUUACUGGGCUUAAAGUGUCCGUAGCCGGUUUAGUAAGUUCCUGGUAAAAUCGGGUAGCUUAACUAUCUGCAUGCUAGGAAUACUGCUAUACUAGAGGGUGGGAGAGGUCUGAGGUACUACAGGGGUAGGGGCGAAAUCUUAUAAUCCUUGUAGGACCACCAGUGGCGAAGGCGUCAGACUGGAACACGCCUGACGGUGAGGGACGAAAGCCAGGGGAGCGAACCGGAUUAGAUACCCGGGUAGUCCUGGCCGUAAACGAUGCAUACUAGGUGAUGGCACGGCCAUGAGCCGUGUCAGUGCCGUAGGGAAACCGUUAAGUGUGCCGCCUGGGAAGUACGGUCGCAAGGCUAAAACUUAAAGGAAUUGGCGGGGGAGCAC